GGGAGAGCAACGCCAUGGACAUCUGGGGACAAAAGUGGCUGUUUCCAAGGAGAAGACUUUUGUUUGCUUUUUCAAAUCUCAUACCCAGUGUUUUUCUUCACAGGUUUUGCACACUAGGGACCCAGAAGCCCUCGGGGACACUGCUGAGAAAGGACUGCUCCAAAGAAGACCUGUGGGAGAUAUACAAAUAUUUUAGAGGUCAUGGGAUCUAUUCCAGAGGAAACUAACCAACAGUGACAUCUUCAACUAAAACUACCCCUGGAUAUGAUGGUUGCAUGCAUCAUUCCUUUAAUUGAGCAGAGUUAACUGGAUCAAAUUAUUUAUGGGAGAGAGAGGGAAAGCUAUACAGAAUUACAGUAAUUUUUAAUUUCCACCAAUAUACGCUUUGUAAGUGAAUCACUCUAAAUAUUUUCUGUUACACUGAAUGCAGCAACAAUAACAAAAUAGUUUCAUAAGGUAUUUGUUUUUGCAUACUCUGACCUUGUAAUUAUAUAAAUAGCAGCCAAGUUUACUGAUGUUUUUGAUUCUGUCAGAAAAAAAAAGUUCUCUACUCAGAAUGAUGAACAGAAACAGAAUCAGACAUUUAUUUUCUUGAAAUCAAAUAAAUAAAUGGAAAAUUGCUCUUAUCA
This 629-nucleotide long non-coding RNA is filed under the name Ursus americanus (American black bear). RNAcentral's name for it is "lncRNA (ENSUAMG00000009689.1)". Lineage: Eukaryota; Metazoa; Chordata; Mammalia; Carnivora; Ursidae. The record is from RNAcentral.